AUGCUUACUUUGACAGCACAUAGGCUAGCCUCAGAACAAUACAGAGAAGUUUCAAAUGGCUCAUGAGCAAGGGUGACACAGAAGCUUGUGAAAUGUUCCAUAUUUCU
This is a small nuclear RNA of Echinops telfairi (small Madagascar hedgehog), 107 nucleotides long. NCBI's taxonomy places the organism in Eukaryota, Metazoa, Chordata, Mammalia, Afrosoricida, Tenrecidae. The record is from RefSeq and is a predicted model, not a curated record.